GAAUAAUCGUAUUUGUCGUUUAAAUUCGGUGACGUCAGUCGAGUUUAAAUUUUUAAAUUCCAUCGAUCUGAUUCGUCGCUUCGUUUAUGGUAAUUAAACCGUUAUUUAAUUAAUUCCGUUUUAUGUUAUUAAAUUUAUUCGAAAUUCGGGGUUACGAGGUUAAGAAAUUCGGGAAGACGAAAUCGUGUAAGCGUGAAUUCACGCCCGAAGUGGUUCCCUUUGUGUUUAACCUCGAGAAUUCCCGAUUUAUAACAAGUUAUUACGAAUCAAUGUCGAUCUCGAAAGUCUUCUUGUUAUUGCUAUCAUCGAAUUAACCGAAUUUUUCAGUGUGUUACUCGCUAGGCCAGCUUCCUUAUCAAUUAAACUACCGAACCAAAUAAUCGAUAAUGCAAGAAGUUGAGCCAAAGUUUUCAAAUAUCUUGCCAAAGUAAAGAAGGGAAUAAAGGAAGAAAGAAAGGGGAAAAAAACAAAAUGCCUUCUACAAAGGGGCGAUGUGCCAAAUACAGAUUUGUUUCUUGAAGUUCUCGUCGCCAAAAGAAAAGUUUUCAACUACAACUGAAGGAACGAGGACAUUGACUUUACAUCAGUUUGGAACUCGUUAAUAAAUAACGAAGAAAUCCAUUAAUUUAUCUUUAGUAACUGUUUCGUAACGGAAAUGAUAUUAAAUUUAAUUUAACUUUACUCUUUAUGAACUUGUAAUCGAGAAAACUCGUAGAGGAAAAAAAAAUCAAAAAUCAUUGGCUGGAAAUAAAGAAAUAAAUAUGUUUUAAAAUCUAUUCGUACGAGUUUGUAAUUUUGUUUAUUGUUUUGUGUGGGUGUGUACGUGUAGAAGAAUGUAAAUUAAAGGAUAAAUUUGAUAAAAAAUCUGUAUUUAGUGAAGAAGAAGAAGAAGAAGAAGAAGGGAAAGUUUUUCUGAUGAUAAAGGAGAUGCUCUUUCUGUUUUGGAUCGUUGUUUUUUUUUAUAAAUAACCGAAUUGUCGGUUAUAUUCAUGAAUUGGAGAAGUAAAGAAACCAAGAUAGCGGUCGAUUUGAUAAUAAUAUAUUUUACAUGCAUCUGCAAUCGAAAACAGCAACCGAAACGAAGUGUGAAAUCUUUGUCUUCUCUAAGGAACUAAAGGGGAAGAAACUAUCAAAUUUUGUAAACCCAUCGG
Molecule: long non-coding RNA, 1151 nt
Filed under: Centruroides sculpturatus (bark scorpion)
Lineage: Eukaryota; Metazoa; Arthropoda; Arachnida; Scorpiones; Buthidae
Description: uncharacterized LOC111638764, transcript variant X1
Source: RNAcentral